RNAcentral lists this unclassified non-coding RNA (329 nucleotides) under soil metagenome. Its description in RNAcentral is "partial contains 5.8S ribosomal RNA, internal transcribed spacer 2, and large subunit ribosomal RNA". The stretch from base 1 to 120 matches the Rfam family "5.8S ribosomal RNA", at positions 35 to 154 of the family's 154-position model. The record is from RNAcentral.
GAUGAAGAACGUAGCGAAAUGCGAUAAGUAAUGUGAAUUGCAGAAUUCAGUGAAUCAUCGAAUCUUUGAACGCACAUUGCGCCCCUUGGUAUUCCGAGGGGCAUGCCUGUUCGAGCGUCAUUAUAACCCCUCAAGCUCAGCUUGGUGUUGGGGCCUGCUGCACUGGCAGCCCUUAAAAUCAGUGGCGGCGCCAUCUGGCUCUAAGCGUAGUAAUUCCUCUCGCUAUGGAGUCCUGGUGGAUGCUUGCCAUCAACCCCCAAUUUUUCUAUGGUUGACCUCGGAUCAGGUAGGGAUACCCGCUGAACUUAAGCAUAUCAAUAAGCGGAGGA